RNAcentral lists this ribosomal RNA (359 nucleotides) under uncultured bacterium. RNAcentral's name for it is "bacterial SSU rRNA". It matches the Rfam family "Bacterial small subunit ribosomal RNA", at positions 28 to 319 of the family's 1533-position model. The record is from RNAcentral.
GAUGAACGCUGGCGGCGUGCCUAAUACAUGCAAGUCGAGCGGUAAGGUUCUGCACUUAGUAUUUGACCAGGUAAGUCUAUGCAAAUAGAUACUGCCUGCAGCGGUAACCUCUAGGCUAGAGGUUCCGGUCGAAUGUUGAGUGUAGAAUACACGAGCGGCGGACGGCUGAGUAACACGUAGGAACGUACCCCAAAGUGAGGGAUAACUGCUCGAAAGAGUAGCUAANACCGCAUGUGCUCUAAGGAGUAAAGCUUCGGCGCUUUGGGAACGGCCUGCGCAUGAUUAGCUUGUUGGUGAGUAAAGCUCACCAAGGCGACGAUCAUUAGCUGGUCUGAGAGGAUGAUCAGCCAGACUGGGAC